RNAcentral lists this ribosomal RNA (253 nucleotides) under uncultured bacterium. RNAcentral's name for it is "partial 16S ribosomal RNA". It matches the Rfam family "Bacterial small subunit ribosomal RNA", at positions 524 to 776 of the family's 1533-position model. The record is from RNAcentral.
UACGUAGGGUGCGAGCGUUAAUCGGAAUUACUGGGCGUAAAGCGUGCGCAGGCGGUUAUGUAAGACAGGUGUGAAAUCCCCGGGCUCAACCUGGGAACUGCAUCUGUGACUGCAUAGCUAGAGUACGGUAGAGGGGGAUGGAAUUCCGCGUGUAGCAGUGAAAUGCGUAGAUAUGCGGAGGAACACCGAUGGCGAAGGCAAUCCCCUGGACCUGUACUGACGCUCAUGCACGAAAGCGUGGGGAGCAAACAGG